Molecule: RNA transcript, 1328 nt
Organism: Bufo gargarizans (Asiatic toad)
Lineage: Eukaryota; Metazoa; Chordata; Amphibia; Anura; Bufonidae
Gene name: microtubule-associated protein 2-like
Exons: 8
Source: RefSeq, a predicted model, not a curated record
GCGGUGACCACUCUGUCCCCAGCCUCUCCAAAGCUGCAGCUGAUCAAAGCCAUCAGAGCAUCACAAGUGCUGCAGCCGGAGAAAAAGCGACCAGAUAACUCUCCUGCUGGUCUCAGUGCUGGAUGCCUGAUUGAACGCUGAGCAGAUAACGGCCAAGAGGAUAGAGAAGGCGCUCAUAGGUUCCUGCCUGAUUCAUCCUUUUGUUCCUGCCUCUCAGUCCUGCUUCACCAACCGGAUAAAGAGUUUUGCUAGGUGACGUGAUUCUGAUCUACAAUCUAACAGAUAUUUGCUCUUCAAGAAUAAGGAGGACCCUGACUACCACAAGGGGUUUCUGGCUGGAGGAAGUAUGACGGAUAACAGGCAGGAUGAGCCCAAAUCAUCCCACUGGGCACCGGGACAGCUCAGUGAGGCCGCUCCUCUCCCUCACACAACAGAUAUGAAAGAACAAGGGGGGGCAGGAGAUGGAAUGGUCCACAGCUCCAAUGGCAUUCCCUUCAGAGAGACGGGCAGAGCGUAUGGGGAGAGGGAUCUUCAAGAAUCACAUGCUACAAGCAAAGAGAAUGGCAUCAAUGGAGAGAUGCCAUCUAGAGACUCGGAGACGGCAGAGGAGGUAUCUGCACGCAUAGUCCAAGUAGUAACUGCUGAUGCUGUAGCGGUCCUGAGAGGUGAACAGGAGAAGGAAGUCCAACUCAAGGGCCCUCCAGGAGAUCUGCCAUUAGCUGUGGAAGAUACGACCAAUCUCCCUCCUUCUCCUCCUCCUUCGCCAGCAUCAGAACAAAUGGGAACAGUGGAGGAAGGUAAGGUCAUAUAGUAAGAUUAGUGUCAUGCAAAUUUGGAGAUAUAACAGAUAGUGCAAAGCAUAAGAUGAAAAGAAUGCUUGUAACUAGUGGACAAAGUUCAGAAGAGCUUGAUCCUCUUCUCAUCGUGCUUUAGAUAUCUUUCUUUGUAUCUGCCCCCUACUAUUAACAUACACCAUCUCCAUAAUGCAUUAUGUAUCUUCACUAAAUCUCAUACAAGAAAAUGAAGUUGCAAAAUGAAGCCUCCUGGAGUCAAUCCUCAAAUUCUUCAAGUCAAGUUUUCUUGUACUUUGAUUUCUCAGUUUUUUCUUCCCGAAAUAGUCACAUAAAAGCCUAAAACAACAUGUAAAACAGAACGUAUGUUUUGCACGACAUGUAUGUCCAGACGAGUAUACUUUUAGGAAACCCUUGUCAAAAGUACCAGUUUCUGACAUUUGCUUCCCCCCAACCCAGACAUAGAAUUUUGGCUCACUAGUCCACUCUCCUUACUGACCUCAGUAGACUGAAAGUGUGAUGUCUGUGGUCUUAUGG